CUUAAAUUGAAGAGUUUGAUCAUGGCUCAGAUUGAACGCUGGCGGCAGGCCUAACACAUGCAAGUCGAGCGGAAACGAGUUAUCUGAACCUUCGGGGAACGAUAACGGCGUCGAGCGGCGGACGGGUGAGUAAUGCCUAGGAAAUUGCCCUGAUGUGGGGGAUAACCAUUGGAAACGAUGGCUAAUACCGCAUGAUGCCUACGGGCC
RNAcentral lists this ribosomal RNA (207 nucleotides) under Vibrio alginolyticus. RNAcentral's name for it is "partial 16S ribosomal RNA". It matches the Rfam family "Bacterial small subunit ribosomal RNA", at positions 1 to 188 of the family's 1533-position model. The record is from RNAcentral. Lineage: Bacteria; Pseudomonadati; Pseudomonadota; Gammaproteobacteria; Vibrionales; Vibrionaceae.